RNAcentral lists this ribosomal RNA (459 nucleotides) under uncultured bacterium. RNAcentral describes it as "partial 16S ribosomal RNA". It matches the Rfam family "Bacterial small subunit ribosomal RNA", at positions 338 to 795 of the family's 1533-position model. The record is from RNAcentral.
CCUACGUGAGGCAGCAGUGAGGAAUAUUGGUCAAUGGGCGCGAGCCUGAACCAGCCAAGUCGCGUGAGUGAAGACGGUCCUAUGGAUUGUAAACCUCUUUUGUCGGGGAGCAAAAGACGCCACGCGUGGCGUUCCGAGAGUACCCGAAGAAAAAGCAUCGGCUAACUCCGUGCCAGCAGCCGCGGUAAUAAGGAGGAUGCGAGCAUUAUCCGGAUUUAUUGGGUUUAAAGGGUGCGCAGGCGGCAGAUCAAGUCAGCGGUAAAAUUGAGAGGCUCAACCUCUUAGAGCCGUUGAAACUGGUUGUCGUGAGUGAGUGAGAAGUAUGCGGAAUGCGUGGUGUAGCGGUGAAAUGCAUAGAUAUCACGCAGAACUACGAGUGCGAAGGCAGCAUACCGGCGCUCAACUGACGCUCAUGCACGAAAGUGUGGGUAUCGAACAGGAUUAGAUACCCUAGUAGUC